This 395-nucleotide unclassified non-coding RNA is filed under the name soil metagenome. Its description in RNAcentral is "partial contains 5.8S ribosomal RNA, internal transcribed spacer 2, and large subunit ribosomal RNA". The stretch from base 1 to 122 matches the Rfam family "5.8S ribosomal RNA", at positions 35 to 154 of the family's 154-position model. The record is from RNAcentral.
GAUGAAGAACGCAGCGAAAUGCGAUACUUGGUGUGUAUUGCAGAAUCCCGUGAACCAUCGAGUCUUUGAACGCAAGUUGCGCCCGAAGCCAUCAGGUUGAGGGCACGUCUGCCUGGGCGUCACAUAUCGUUGCCCAAUGCCUAUUGCAGUGCAAUAGGAAUUUCUAGGGCGAAUGAUGGCUUCCCGUGAGCGUUGUUGCCUCGCGGUUGGUUGAAAAUCGAGUCCUUGGUAGGGUGUGCCAUGGUAGAUGGUGGUCGAGUUAGAACGAUACCGAUCAUGUGCAUGCUCCCCAAAAUAUGGCCUCUAUGACCCACACGCGUCUUUUGACGCUCAUGACGAGACCUCAGGUCAGGCGGGGCUACCCACUGAAUUUAAGCAUAUCAAUAAGCGGAGGA